AUUCAUUUCCGGCGGCGGAGGCGGCAGUUUCCUAAGCUUGGCUUCUCUCCGGUCCGCUGACCGGCGUCAGGGACCAGGUUUUGGUAGCUGUGGGUAGCCUCAGUUGUCCUGGAAUGAAAGACGGUUUCGUGUUGGACAAGGACAUAUCUGCAGAAGGCCAGUUCUCUCGAACUCGUCGGACUUCCUGGCUCCCUGACCCCCAGUGACUCGUUUUUCCGUUUUCUCAGGUGCCUGUCUGGGCUCCUCUUCCUCUGGA
Molecule: long non-coding RNA, 256 nt
Filed under: Homo sapiens (human)
Lineage: Eukaryota; Metazoa; Chordata; Mammalia; Primates; Hominidae
Description: non-protein coding lnc-C16orf86-2:1
Source: RNAcentral